This 253-nucleotide ribosomal RNA is filed under the name uncultured bacterium. RNAcentral describes it as "partial 16S ribosomal RNA". It matches the Rfam family "Bacterial small subunit ribosomal RNA", at positions 524 to 776 of the family's 1533-position model. The record is from RNAcentral.
UACAGAGGUCCCGAGCGUUGUUCGGAUUCACUGGGCGUAAAGGGUGCGUAGGUGGCAUGGAAAGUUUGAUGUGAAAGCUCAGGGCUUAACCCUGAAAUGGCAUUGAAUACUGCCGUGCUGGAGGUUUGGAGGGGGGACUGGAAUUCUUGGUGUAGCAGUGAAAUGCGUAGAUAUCAAGAGGAACACCAGUGGCGAAGGCGAGUCCCUGGACAACACCUGACACUGAGGCACGAAAGCUAGGGGAGCAAACAGG